This 822-nucleotide ribosomal RNA is filed under the name uncultured Actinomycetes bacterium. Its description in RNAcentral is "bacterial SSU rRNA". It matches the Rfam family "Bacterial small subunit ribosomal RNA", at positions 60 to 892 of the family's 1533-position model. Lineage: Bacteria; Bacillati; Actinomycetota; Actinomycetes. The record is from RNAcentral.
AGUCGAAGAUGAAGCUGGAGCUUGCUCCGGCGGAUUAGUGGCGAACGCCCUUAAUACACGUGAGCAAUCUGCCCUUGACUCUGGGAUAACUGCGGGAAACUGUAGCUAAUACCGGAUACUUUCCUCGGUGGGCAUCCACUGAGGAAGAAAGAAUUUCGGUCAAGGAUGAGCUCGCGACCUAUCAGCUAGUUGGUGAGGUAAAGGCUCACCAAGGCGACGACGGGUAGCCGGCCUGAGAGGGUGACCGGCCACACUGGGACUGAGACACGGCCCAGACUCCUACGGGAGGCAGCAGUGGGGAAUAUUGCACAAUGGACGAAAGUCUGAUGCAGCAACGCCGCGUGAGGGACGAAGGCCUUCGGGUUGUAAACCUCUUUUAGCAGGGAAGAAGCGAAAGUGACGGUACCUGCAGAAAAAGCACCGGCUAACUACGUGCCAGCAGCCGCGGUAAUACGUAGGGUGCAAGCGUUGUCCGGAAUUAUUGGGCGUAAAGAGCUCGUAGGCGGUUUGUCGCGUCUGCUGUGAAAUUUCGAGGCUCAACCUCGAACUUGCAGUGGGUACGGGCAGGCUAGAGUGCAGUAGGGGAGAUGGGAAUUCCUGGUGUAGCGGUGGAAUGCGCAGAUAUCAGGAGGAACACCAAUGGCGAAGGCACAUCUCUGGGCUGUAACUGACGCUGAGGAGCGAAAGCGUGGGGAGCGAACAGGAUUAGAUACCCUGGUAGUCCACGCCGUAAACGGUGGGUGCUAGCUGUGGGCCACAUUCCACGUGGUCCGUGACGAAGUUAACACAUUAAGCACCCCGCCUGGGGAGUACGGCCGCAAG